UCGUAUAAUAGGCAGGUGAUAUAUUAUUAUUGUUAUUAUUACAUUUGAAUCGUUAUAAUAUCGUAAUACUCGGCAAACGGCCAAGCGCAUCGGUCAUUGGUGUAAUGAUAAUUAUUGAUUAUUUAUUCUGUUACAAUCAUACGGAUCGGUACGGACAACGGGUACGCGAACUGACACAUUGAUACGUACUACACGUAUAUUGUAAUUAAACGUAAUCGCAUAUAUAUAUACAUAUAGGUACACGAAAUGAUAAUUUUAAUAUGGAAGUAUAUGGAAUUACACGCGCAACAUUAUUAAUGAUAAUGUUGGUUUUUUUUUUUUUUUUUUUUUUUUUU
Cinara cedri is the source of this 335-nucleotide non-coding RNA. The record is from the annotation of a GenBank genome assembly. NCBI's taxonomy places the organism in Eukaryota, Metazoa, Arthropoda, Insecta, Hemiptera, Aphididae.